GCCUGGCUGGCUCAGUCAGUAGAGCAUGUGAUUCCUGAUCUUGGGGUCAUGAGUUCAAGCCCCACGUUGGGCC
RNAcentral lists this transfer RNA (73 nucleotides) under Ailuropoda melanoleuca (giant panda). It matches the Rfam family "tRNA". Rfam says of the family: Transfer RNA (tRNA) molecules are approximately 80 nucleotides in length. Lineage: Eukaryota; Metazoa; Chordata; Mammalia; Carnivora; Ursidae. The record is from Rfam by way of RNAcentral.